This is a non-coding RNA of Mesorhizobium loti, 64 nucleotides long. The record is from Rfam. Lineage: Bacteria; Pseudomonadati; Pseudomonadota; Alphaproteobacteria; Hyphomicrobiales; Phyllobacteriaceae.
CAGGCAUGCUGGAGCCCCGCCAGCGGCGCCUGGCCUAUGAGGCCCGUCACCGGACGGGGCAGAA